UGGGGAAUUUUGGACAAUGGGCGAAAGCCUGAUCCAGCAAUGCCGCGUGUGUGAAGAAGGCCUUCGGGUUGUAAAGCACUUUUGUCCGGAAAGAAAUCCUUGGCUCUAAUACAGUCGGGGGAUGACGGUACCGGAAGAAUAAGCACCGGCUAACUACGUGCCAGCAGCCGCGGUAAUACGUAGGGUGCAAGCGUUAAUCGGAAUUACUGGGCGUAAAGCGUGCGCAGGCGGUUUGCUAAGACCGAUGUGAAAUCCCCGGGCUCAACCUGGGAACUGCAUUGGUGACUGGCAGGCUAGAGUAUGGCAGAGGGGGGUAGAAUUCCACGUGUAGCAGUGAAAUGCGUAGAGAUGUGGAGGAAUACCGAUGGCGAAGGCAGCCCCCUGGGCCAAUACUGACGCUCAUGCACGAAAGCGUGGGGAGCAAAACAGGAUUAGAUACCCUGGUAGUCCACGCCCCUAAAACGAUGUCAACUAGUUGUUGGGGAUUCAUUUCCUUAGUAACGUAGCUAACGCGUGAAGUUGACCGCCUGGGGAGUACGGUCGCAAGAUUAAAACUUAAAUGAAUUGACGGGGUCAUAGCUGUUUCCU
RNAcentral lists this ribosomal RNA (588 nucleotides) under uncultured bacterium. RNAcentral's name for it is "partial 16S ribosomal RNA". It matches the Rfam family "Bacterial small subunit ribosomal RNA", at positions 355 to 1375 of the family's 1533-position model. The record is from RNAcentral.